UACGUAGGGUGCGAGCGUUGUCCGGAAUUAUUGGGCGUAAAGAGCUUGUAGGCGGUCUGUCGCGUCUGCUGUGAAAAUCCGGGGCUCAACCCCGGACUUGCAGUGGGUACGGGCAGACUAGAGUGUGGUAGGGGAGACUGGAAUUCCUGGUGUAGCGGUGAAAUGCGCAGAUAUCAGGAGGAACACCGAUGGCGAAGGCAGGUCUCUGGGCCGGUACUGACGCUGAGACGCGAAAGCGUGGGGAGCGAACAGG
RNAcentral lists this ribosomal RNA (253 nucleotides) under uncultured bacterium. RNAcentral describes it as "partial 16S ribosomal RNA". It matches the Rfam family "Bacterial small subunit ribosomal RNA", at positions 524 to 776 of the family's 1533-position model. The record is from RNAcentral.